This 449-nucleotide ribosomal RNA is filed under the name uncultured bacterium. RNAcentral describes it as "partial 16S ribosomal RNA". It matches the Rfam family "Bacterial small subunit ribosomal RNA", at positions 29 to 523 of the family's 1533-position model. The record is from RNAcentral.
AACGAACGCUGGCGGCAUGCCUAACACAUGCAAGUCGAACGAACCCUUCGGGGUUAGUGGCGCACGGGUGCGUAACGCGUGGGGAUCUGCCCUUUGCUUCGGAAUAACAGUUAGAAAUGACUGCUAAUACCGGAUGAUGUCGCAAGACCAAAGAUUUAUCGGCAAAGGAUGAACCCGCGUAGGAUUAGCUAGUUGGUGAGGUAAAGGCUCACCAAGGCGACGAUCCUUAGCUGGUCUGAGAGGAUGAUCAGCCACACUGGGACCGAGACACGGCCCAGACUCCUACGGGAGGCAGCAGUGGGGAAUAUUGGACAAUGGGCGAAAGCCUGAUCCAGCAAUGCCGCGUGAGUGAUGAAGGCCCUAGGGUUGUAAAGCUCUUUUACCAGGGAUGAUAAUGACAGUACCUGGAGAAUAAGCUCCGGCUAACUUCGUGCCAGCCGCCGCAGUAA